CCAAGCCCUUGCAAGGUGGCCUCUGCCCGAACCGGCCCUGACGUACUUCCCCAACGCCAGGUCCGCACUCUCGGGCAGGGACCUCCCUGCAAGGGCAGGCACAC
This is a regulatory RNA element of Mycobacterium sp. Root135, 104 nucleotides long. It matches the Rfam family "mraW RNA". NCBI's taxonomy places the organism in Bacteria, Bacillati, Actinomycetota, Actinomycetes, Mycobacteriales, Mycobacteriaceae. The record is from Rfam.